CAAGUGUUUCGAGCAGUGAGAUGGACUUUAGCAGACCAAUGUAAAACACUUUAUCUGUGGUAUGCCUGGAAUUGGCUCACACACUUGCAAGUUGGAUCAUGUUAUCACACUUGGGUUACUGAAAGUGGAUAAAAGCAGAGAGAGUGAAAACAUUCUGCAAAACAUCACAUAACACAGAGUGAAAGAGAAUACUUAAUCGAUUAUGCAAAGUUACCAUGAAACUAUUGGUAAUACUACGGCUGAUACAACCCAGGAUGUCUAGGAUGACCCAUUGGGAUCCCAAGUUCUUUUCCACAAAGUCCCUGUUUGGCCAGACACCUUUCUGUUCUACCAUAUGGAUUAUUCCACUCCAAGAUCGUUUUCCUGCUCUGAAUAUCUUGGGAUUCCCUGUCAGAUCAUUUCCUCUGUUUGUCAGGGUCCAUAUAAAUAGGAACACUAUUUACUAGUAUGUUUAUUGCCCAGUCUUGUCAUCAUAUGCACACUUCAUGAGAAUACAUCCUGUCUUAACACCCUUAUCUUUAACAAAGAUAAAUAGUAAUGUCACCACUAGUGAUCAAGAAUAGAAUUGGCAAUGAGCAGACAGCCUGACUUCAUAGCACUGAUGUGCCAUGUGCUACUAAUGUACAACUCAAAACUAGUUUGGCUUUAAGAAUGGUUUUAGGGAUGUUUGGGUAUCAUUUCAUAUAUUUCAUAAUGCUUGAGUAUCAUUUACAGACAUACUUAACUUCAGUAAGAACCUGUAUAAUUAUUUAUACAUUUCUCAUUAUGAGAAAUAAGUAUAUAUUAGAAAUUUCCACAAAUAUUAGAGCUAUGCAGAAUUGUACAGAUAUUCACAUCUAUCCAUGAGUAGCAAGAUUCAAGGGAAGAGGGCCAAAAGAUGUGUUCAAUUCUUCAUGAACAAGUACCAUUGUGGUCUUAAUUGCCAUUUAGAUGAAUUAAGUCAUGGCAGGUUCCUCUUGUUCCACUGUGAUGUUGCUCAGAAUCUUGAUGGCAACAUGGGCAUUCUGCCAGCAGUGAUACCUUAGUUGUUUAUAACUGUAUUAAGAUCAUAUAUAUGCUAUUUGCACAGCAAGGGCUGCAGCAGGAAAUAAAAAUAUUCCCUGCUGUCUGUGUGCAUUUGUAAGAUCUAGAAAAUGUUGUCAUCUGAAUACCUCGGCACUGCAUUUAUAACACAAACUGUUGUAGGAGCCAUUAGAGAAAUCCCUCAAGGACAACAUGAUAUACACAUCACCAUGGCUUUUCUUUUUCUGAAUCUUUCUUGUCAUUACUCCUGAGAAAGUGAU
Lagopus muta (rock ptarmigan) is the source of this 1283-nucleotide long non-coding RNA. RefSeq lists it as uncharacterized. NCBI's taxonomy places the organism in Eukaryota, Metazoa, Chordata, Aves, Galliformes, Phasianidae. The transcript is spliced from 3 exons. The record is from RefSeq and is a predicted model, not a curated record.